This 74-nucleotide transfer RNA is filed under the name Marisediminitalea aggregata. It matches the Rfam family "tRNA". From Rfam's summary of the family: Transfer RNA (tRNA) molecules are approximately 80 nucleotides in length. The record is from RNAcentral. RNAcentral also lists the same sequence under 1 other name. Lineage: Bacteria; Pseudomonadati; Pseudomonadota; Gammaproteobacteria; Alteromonadales; Alteromonadaceae.
GGGUCGGUAGUACAACCUGGCGAGUACACUCGGCUGUAACCCGACAGAUCCUCGUUCAAAUCGAGGCCGGCCCA